CAGCAGCCGCGGGAAUACGAAGGGGGCUAGCGUUGUUCGGAAUUACUGGGCGUAAAGCGCGUGUAGGCGGGUCCUUAAGUCAGGGGUGAAAUGCCAAGGCUCAACCUUGGAACUGCCUCUGAUACUGGGGAUCUUGAGUCCGGGAGAGGUGAGCGGAACUGCGAGUGUAGAGGUGAAAUUCGUAGAUAUUCGCAAGAACACCAGUGGCGAAGGCGGCUCACUGGCCCGGAACUGACGCUGAGACGCGAAAGCGUGGGGAGCAAACAGGAUUAGAUACCCCCGUAGUCCCUGUCUCUUAUAC
RNAcentral lists this ribosomal RNA (301 nucleotides) under uncultured bacterium. RNAcentral's name for it is "partial 16S ribosomal RNA". It matches the Rfam family "Bacterial small subunit ribosomal RNA", at positions 509 to 807 of the family's 1533-position model. The record is from RNAcentral.